UUCUCCUCCACCUCCGCCCCCAUCUUCCCUGCCUUUCUCCUCUUCUCCGCCCCCGACCUUACUUUCUCCUCCAUCUCCGCCCUCGUCUAAGCCCCCGAGCUGCCCUAUUCCUGUUUCUCUCAUUCUGUUUCUCUCAUUCUCGUCUACCGCCCGAGCUGCCCUUGCCCUCACCCUGUAGCCCCUUCUUGUCUGCCCUUCACGCUUCUUCACCCUCCUUCAACCUCUCGCCUCCUUCAAACGUGCAGUGGAUUGAAGCUUCCCCUCGCCCUGCCAAUCAAGCAAUCUGCAACCUCUCAGCCCAGCAGCUCCUCAGCUUCCUCUUCUCCUCUCCUUAGCAGGAACGACAGCUCUCCGUAGCAGCGACUCUUCCCCACCUCUGUCGAGGCCAUCAGCAGACCAGCCGUAGCUUCUGUUGCAGCCCAGCAGUAGCUUCUCGUCGAGGAUUUAAUUUUCCCUCAACAAAAAUCAAGAAACAGUUAUAUGCACUUCAGCGAAAUUUUUCUGAAUUAUACUUGGCCGGACCAUGACAAAAAUUAAUAAACGAAAGGAACUAGGCGGUGAUGCAUCUUCUCAAGUAUUGCAUGACUUCGAUGGGAAGAAUAGUGUGCAGGACAAAAGACUAGUUAUCUAGCAAGUUGUUAUAGUUGUUUUUGUUUUAUGGCUUACAACAAUUGAAUGUUUUAAACAAUUUGUACGGGACCAUGGUGUUUUAGUUCAUUAGUGGUGGUGAUAUAGGCGAAUAUGUCAAUGUUGUACUUUGCUUUUACAGUCGAUGUAAUAAUCCUUGCUUCAUCUAUCAGAUACUUUUGUAAUUAUUCGAUACUUGUUAAUACUUGUUAACAUUGAUGGGGAAAAUUGUGAG
This is a long non-coding RNA of Nymphaea colorata (pocket water lily), 862 nucleotides long. RefSeq lists it as uncharacterized. The transcript has 4 exons. Lineage: Eukaryota; Viridiplantae; Streptophyta; Magnoliopsida; Nymphaeales; Nymphaeaceae. The record is from RefSeq and is a predicted model, not a curated record.